This 253-nucleotide ribosomal RNA is filed under the name uncultured bacterium. RNAcentral describes it as "partial 16S ribosomal RNA". It matches the Rfam family "Bacterial small subunit ribosomal RNA", at positions 524 to 776 of the family's 1533-position model. The record is from RNAcentral.
UACGUAGGGAGCAAGCGUUGUCCGGAAUCAUUGGGCGUAAAGCGCGCGUAGGUGGCCCCAUAAGUCCGCUGUGAAAGUCAAAGGCUCAACCUUUGAAAGCCGGUGGAUACUGUGGGACUAGAGUACGGAAGAGGCGAGUGGAAUUCCUGGUGUAGCGGUGGAAUGCGCAGAUAUCAGGAGGAACACCAAUAGCGAAGGCAGGUCUCUGGGCAUUAACUGACGCUGAGGAGCGAAAGCAUGGGGAGCGAACAGG